Molecule: long non-coding RNA, 1371 nt
Organism: Carassius gibelio (silver crucian carp)
Lineage: Eukaryota; Metazoa; Chordata; Actinopteri; Cypriniformes; Cyprinidae
Exons: 6
Source: RefSeq, a predicted model, not a curated record
AUUAACCGAAGCACUCGGCGUUUACAGCUGAUUGUUAUUAUCAAUGUACUUCCGGUUACAAGUGCAGAGAUGCGUCUUGGAUGUUCAUUCUUAAUAGACACAUAUUUGGACAGAUACUAGGAUAGGAUACAGUUCAUUUGCUGCUGCUCGAAGUCUAGCCCAGAAGUUUUUUUGCCCAGAAAAAUGGGGAGUCAACACGUGGCACAUGCCACUCAGGGAGCAUUGGCAAUGUUAGGUCUUGUUGAAUGUGUUCAGUGCUUAUGAAGAGACAACAGGAAGUGUGUUCACAGCUGGGUCAGACUGAUGGAGAAGAACCCAGAUUUUGUCUUUACAUGUUCACAAUUCUGGCUGCCGGACACAUUUGUCUACUCAGCACAGCUGCCUCAAAUCACAAAGGAUGUAGGAUCUUGUUUUCUUGUGAACACAUUUCCGAGUUCAGAGGUCAAGCCCCAUUCUCUCUGCUGGAAUCGGACUUAACCCUCCUGUGUACUCGGGUUGGGGAGCUCUUUCUUGAGCUACAAACACUACACAAGCAAAGGUGUGGGGACACAAAUUGGCUGUGGUGUGGCUCUAAUUAAUGACUCAAAAUAUGGCUACACGAUCCAUGAAAACAUCAUGACCAUCUCUCUAUUGCGGGCUGCACAAACAGAUUGGUACAUCUUGAAUUUUUUAAUUAUUUUAAAUCAUUUUCAGACAACCAUAUAUAAAAGCAAUGCAUUUGUUAAGGCCCCUUCCAGGAUGCUUUAGUUAUCCAGUAUGCCUACAACCUGAACUUCCCACUCCAUGUCUUUCAUGGCGUCAUUUCUGAACCCUGGAGUGUGUUCUCUGUAAAUUCCCCUCAUGUAACCUGGAGACCAUAAAACAUGUACCCAUUCAUUAAAAAUGUCAGAUUUUGCACACUGUGUCUAGCACAAAGUCUGUUUCCUUUUUCCCCAUGCUAGAGACAAUGCCCUUCUUGUUCGCUUCAUGGAAGCAGCGUGACUAUGACUUUGUCACCUUCCCUUCUAAUGCAUAAAGAAUGACAAUGAGUUAUCAAUCAGCACCAGUGUACUCUUGUUGAACUGUUAAGAACACUAUUCUCAUAGCCAACUGUCUUUAGAGUUGUGAUCUCCUGGAGCUUCUAGUUCCAUUAUUUCAUUAUUAAAGACCACCUCUGGAAUGUCCUUAACAUUCAAACCCUUUCAGAUCAGAUCUCUCCUCUUAAUUAUACAGUGAUUUAUUCAAUUGCAUAUCGAUUAUGAUGCGGGUACCUAAGUAGCUGCUUUCACUUUGGAAAAUUGUGGUUUAUGAUAUUCAUACAAGUUUUCACUUUUAAACUGUUUCGUUGAAGUUUUUUCAUACAAACUUUUUUUUUUGUAAAAAUUACAAAUA